Molecule: ribosomal RNA, 443 nt
Filed under: uncultured bacterium
Lineage: Bacteria
Description: partial 16S ribosomal RNA
Rfam family: Bacterial small subunit ribosomal RNA
Source: RNAcentral
CCUACGGGCGGCAGCAGUGGGGAAUAUUGGGCAAUGGGCGCAAGCCUUACCCAGCAAUACCGCGUGAGUGACGAAGGUCUUCGGAUUGUAAAGCUCUUUGAUCAGGGACGAACAGAUGACGGUACCUGAAGAACAAGCCCCGGCUAACUACGUGCCAGCAGCAGCAGUAAAACGUAGGGGGCGAGCGUUGUCCGGAUUGACUGGGCGUAAAGGGUGCGUAGGCGGAAGAAUAAGUUAGAAGUGAAAUACCCAGAGCUUAACGGGGGAGCUGCUUCUAAGACUGUUGGGCUUGAGUGCGGGAGAGGUGAAUGGAAUGCCUAGUGUAGCGGUGGAAUGCGUAGAUAUUAGGAGGAACACCAGAUGCGAAGGCGAUUAACGGGACCGUAACUGACGCUGAGGCACGAAAGUGUGGGUAGCAAACAGGAUUAGAUACCCCGGUAGUC